AGUAAAAUGGCUGAAUUUAAGGCGAUAAAUUGUAAAUUUAUUUAUAAAUGAGAAAUUUUUUUACUA
Molecule: transfer RNA, 66 nt
Filed under: Gumaga orientalis
Lineage: Eukaryota; Metazoa; Arthropoda; Insecta; Trichoptera; Sericostomatidae
Description: tRNA-Tyr
Rfam family: tRNA
About the family: Transfer RNA (tRNA) molecules are approximately 80 nucleotides in length.
Source: RNAcentral